This 654-nucleotide ribosomal RNA is filed under the name Salmonella enterica. Its description in RNAcentral is "partial 23S ribosomal RNA". It matches the Rfam family "Bacterial large subunit ribosomal RNA", at positions 661 to 1311 of the family's 2925-position model. The record is from RNAcentral. Lineage: Bacteria; Pseudomonadati; Pseudomonadota; Gammaproteobacteria; Enterobacterales; Enterobacteriaceae.
GGGAGCCGGAGGGAAACCGAGUCUUAACCGGGCGUUAAGUUGCAGGGUAUAGACCCGAAACCCGGUGAUCUAGCCAUGGGCAGGUUGAAGGUUGGGUAACACUAACUGGAGGACCGAACCGACUAAUGUUGAAAAAUUAGCGGAUGACCUGUGGCUGGGGGUGAAAGGCCAAUCAAACCGGGAGAUAGCUGGUUCUCCCCGAAAGCUAUUUAGGUAGCGCCUCGUGAAUUCAUCUCCGGGGGUAGAGCACUGUUUCGGCUAGGGGGCCAUCCCGGCUUACCAACCCGAUGCAAACUGCGAAUACCGGAGAAUGUUAUCACGGGAGACACACGGCGGGUGCUAACGUCCGUCGUGAAGAGGGAAACAACCCAGACCGCCAGCUAAGGUCCCAAAGUCAUGGUUAAGUGGGAAACGAUGUGGGAAGGCCCAGACAGCCAGGAUGUUGGCUUAGAAGCAGCCAUCAUUUAAAGAAAGCGUAAUAGCUCACUGGUCGAGUCGGCCUGCGCGGAAGAUGUAACGGGGCUAAACCAUGCACCGAAGCUGCGGCAGCGACGCUUAUGCGUUGUUGGGUAGGGGAGCGUUCUGUAAGCCUGUGAAGGUGUGUCGUGAGGCAUGCUGGAGGUAUCAGAAGUGCGAAUGCUGACAUAAGUAACG